This 1613-nucleotide long non-coding RNA is filed under the name Phasianus colchicus (ring-necked pheasant). RNAcentral's name for it is "lncRNA (ENSPCLG00000008923.1)". Lineage: Eukaryota; Metazoa; Chordata; Aves; Galliformes; Phasianidae. The record is from RNAcentral.
CAUGGAUUGGCAGAGGGGUACGCAGGGAUGAGCCCUUACCACAGUGCCAGAGGAACUUGGAGAACCCCCAAAUUAGUCCUUCAGUAUUCCUGAGGUGACUGAACCACAAUUUAUCUCCUCAGUUUCCUGAGUCGGAUACAUCCUUGUCUUCCACUUCUGACAUUUGGUGGCACACACUUAAUUGAAACCUUGUAACUUCAGAGACUGCUUGUAUUUGCAUUAUUUGCAUGUAGCAAAAAAUGUCCUCAGCUGUAACCUUAUUUAGUGCUCACUGAAUGCAAACCUCUCCAACAUGUUUGUUCUUAAUUUUCCCCUGACCAUGGUGUUAACAUGUGAAACACUUUUAAAACAGCCCCUAGAUGAAGAGCCUGUUCUGCCCUUGGCUUUGCAGGCAGGUCUGCCACCAUAUGUGCUGUUCUUGAUGCUGUUAUGAUAACGAGACCUUUAUUUACAUUUCUGUCCUUUCUGCUUGGCAUAAACUCAAGUGGGUGACCUGCAGCUGAACAGGACAUGCCUCAGGGCUGUGAGAGGGUGUUGGGUGUCCCUGGUUUCCCCCAGUCUCAGGGCCUAAUCCUCAGUGUCAAUGGCCUGUCCCCAUGGAGAUGCCUUUGGACUGGGACUGCUGGCCGCCAUUUUCUUUUGGCCCACUGAGGUGGUGCAAGGCAGGUGCCGUCAGACAUUUUGUGGCACCCUCUGUGAGGGAGCAGCUGGUCAACACUGAGCUCUGACAGGAAUUUUCUGCUGUUUUCCCGUUUCUUCUUUAAAUUUCAUCUUAAGGUCUUCUGAAAGUUAGGAACUGCUGAAAAGGAAUUGGGAAGAAAGAAUUUUCUCCACUUUGUGUGAGGAAAGCCUGUGCAUUGCCCUACUUGGUUGUUUCCUGCCACCAGCAGCAUCGGGUUGCUGCCUGGAGCACCUGAGAUGGCGGCAGUCUCCUCAGGUGAUAGGAGCUGCUACUUCCAAAUAAUUGUAUUUCACCAGAUCACAUAUGUAUUUAGUGUACUUGUGAGGCCGAGAUCUUCUGGAGUAGAUGGAAUUAAAAAGAAAACUGUUCUAUUUGCUUGGUAAUUAUUUAAAGAGAAGUAAUUAGUAGAUUAAUCUUACUGCGAGAUCUUACCUCAUGGCCUGACUUCACAAGAGACUGAGUAUCUUGGUCCUCCUCAGCAAGUGUAGAGUGCAUAUUUAAAUCCAAGUCAUAUCACUGCGCUCAAAGGAGUAGAAGUUUAAGUCUUUGCUUUAAGAUAAUGUUCGUUGGUUUGCAGGUUCUGGAUCAGUUUAGAGCUCUCCUAGACCUUAACUUACCAUUGUUUAUUGCAUCUGAAUUAGAGGGUAAUCUUUAAAUGUAGUUGAAAUCUGAGCAGUUCUACACAGAGGUUUCAGGGCCCACCAUCUUUGUCAGUUUUCAGGGAGGGGUUUAAUUUUGCCAUUUCACAGAAUCAUAGGGGGUGGAAGGGACCUCCAGAGAUUAUUGAGUCCAACCCCCCUGCCAAAGCAGGUUCCCUAUUUGUCCAACUCAUGCUCUUUUCCAAACAAAGGUUUUGGAAAACUUUGAGCUAUUCACCCAGAUCAGUACAAACCAAAAUAAAAGCAGUAACUUAGACUUGAUUUUUUUUUUU